CUCUUUUUCUUUCUCUCUCUCUCUCUCUCUCUCUCUCUCUCUCUCUCUCUCUCUCUUUUUCUUUCUCUUCCAUAGCCCCAAUUCUUCACUCACCUCACUACCCUCUUUGUUGCAUCAUCAACACAACACUCUCUUCAAUGUGCUUUCUUCAUCAAGGCAUGAUCAAUAGGUGAAGAUGAUGAUAGUGCAUCCUCGUGACCAAGUGGGUGGAGACACACGCAAGGAUUUGGUGCCUGCUGCAACUUCUUCUUCAAAACCAAGAAACUGUGCAUGCAUGAAACAUGGCUAGUUACCUACAAAGCACGCUGCAGAAAUUAAUGAUGUCACGUGAAACUACGGAUGAAGAAGAAAACUUAUAUGCAUAGAUUUUUAUUAUCUAGGAAGAAAAGUAAUGUAGGAUGUUAUUAAUGUUGUGUUUGGGGGGAUGUAUUUGACUAUUUUGUUUCCUUUUAUUAAGUCUUGUUAAAUUGGUAGUUUUGUUGAGAUAAUAUAUAAAGCAAUGUAUAUAAUAUGAGAAGGAGAUUGUGGAAUUUUCUGCCCUUUAGUCAAUACCAACCAUAAUUAAGCCCAAA
This is a long non-coding RNA of Vigna unguiculata (cowpea), 572 nucleotides long. RefSeq lists it as uncharacterized. The record is from RefSeq and is a predicted model, not a curated record. NCBI's taxonomy places the organism in Eukaryota, Viridiplantae, Streptophyta, Magnoliopsida, Fabales, Fabaceae.